Molecule: long non-coding RNA, 384 nt
Filed under: Pan troglodytes (chimpanzee)
Lineage: Eukaryota; Metazoa; Chordata; Mammalia; Primates; Hominidae
Description: long non-coding RNA NONPTRT000342
Source: RNAcentral
AAAAAAUAAUUUAAGAAACACUAGCUGAGCGCAGUGGUGUGCGCCUGUUGUCCCAGCUACUCAGGAGGCUGAGGUUGGAGGGUUACUUGAGCCCAGGAGGUUGAGGCUGCAAUGAGCCAAGAUUGCACCACUGCAUUCUAGCCUGGGUAACAAAGAGAGACACUAUAAGUAAGUCUAUGGCAUUUUCUGAUGGCAGCCUGGGCCUACUAAUACAGAAGACAUACUGAAGUUUAUCUGAAGUUGCAAAGGCAAGCUGGAAUGCUGUGAUACUGGAGCACAGUAAAUGAGGACAGAAUUGAAGGACUUGGGGUCAGAGAUAUAAAGUGGAAGGAUGAAAGAAAGUGCUUAAUCACCAGCUCUUUGUCAUUGGAACUGAGAAGCUGC